Ctenopharyngodon idella (grass carp) is the source of this 1024-nucleotide long non-coding RNA. RefSeq lists it as uncharacterized. NCBI's taxonomy places the organism in Eukaryota, Metazoa, Chordata, Actinopteri, Cypriniformes, Xenocyprididae. The record is from RefSeq and is a predicted model, not a curated record. The transcript is spliced from 3 exons.
UGACCAUUAAAUUCCCAAUCUCUGAAGUAGGCCGUCAUCUUUACCUCCAACCAUAGAGGGCAGUGUUGCCAUAGAAUACCUGAGAAAGGCUUUCACAAGAAAGGACUUUAUUAUUGAAAAUGUUACUUAAAAAAAAAAAAAAAACCUUUUGUUUGUUUUGGUUGACUAAUAAUUCUCGCUGCAUACUUAAUGUGGACAUUGUAUUCUUAUUUGUUUUACAAGAGUGUUUACAUUUUUACCACACAUGCCUUUAUUUUGAAGUCUGGAAAAGGAAGUGCAGCGGCACCCUGUGUGUUCAUUGGCGCACUUUUUACGUGAAACAUCAUUCUGAUUUAAUGUUACCAGAGAAAGGAUGAACUUUUGGGUACACACUGUACAAAUGUUUGUUUAAAAAGGUUUCUUUCUACAUCUUAGCUCCUGGCUGAAGGGCACAAGCUCUUACGGUGUUUUUGGAAAUGAAAUUCUUUACAAACAUCAGUUCCUGAGAGUAAAUUGCAUCUGUUCAGCCGGGAAUGCUACACGAACUAUUGGAGUGUGGUUCCUGAGAUGCCCUUUGUCAUGAGGGUUGGCAGGAGGAUCUGGUUCUGCAGAAGAGAGUCAUAUUGGUUUGGAAUGACAUGAUAAUGAGUAGCUUAUGGAAUAAUACUGAAUUCAGAUACUGAAUUGAGAUGACAAAAAGGCACAAUAAAACCAACAAAAAUAUCCAUUAUGAUAAUUAAAACAGUUUUUAUUAGUAUACGCAUAUGUCAUCUUUCAAAAUCAAUAUAAAACUAUAUCAGCAUAAAAAAACUACAAUUCAGUAACAAAUAUAUACAUAUAUAAAAAAUUAAGGUCAGGCAAAGUUACAGUAAAAAAAAAAAAUCAAUUCACAUUUUAUAAAACGAAUGUUUUUACAUUCAAUAAUUCAUUUAUCAUAAUUUAAAUAUUCUAUAUUACAGUAGUAAUACUUAAAUGAAUCACUUGCUCUUGUUUUUAGGAUGGUGAUUCUCAUUCAUUACUGGCUCUUGAGUUUCUUCUUGUUCAU